Molecule: transfer RNA, 85 nt
Filed under: Acidobacteriota bacterium
Lineage: Bacteria; Pseudomonadati; Acidobacteriota
Also listed under: 1 other name
Description: Acidobacteria bacterium tRNA-Leu
Rfam family: tRNA
About the family: Transfer RNA (tRNA) molecules are approximately 80 nucleotides in length. Their secondary structure includes four short double-helical elements and three loops (D, anti-codon, and T loops). Further hydrogen bonds mediate the characteristic L-shaped molecular structure. tRNAs have two regions of fundamental functional importance: the anti-codon, which is responsible for specific mRNA codon recognition, and the 3' end, to which the tRNAs corresponding amino acid is attached (by aminoacyl-tRNA synthetases). tRNAs cope with the degeneracy of the genetic code in two manners: having more than one tRNA (with a specific anti-codon) for a particular amino acid; and 'wobble' base-pairing, i.e. permitting non-standard base-pairing at the 3rd anti-codon position.
Source: RNAcentral
GCCGGAGUGGCGGAACGGCAGACGCAGGGGACUUAAAAUCCCCUUUCCCGCGAGGGAAGUGAGGGUUCGAGCCCCUCCUCCGGCA